Diorhabda sublineata is the source of this 2256-nucleotide long non-coding RNA. RefSeq lists it as uncharacterized. Lineage: Eukaryota; Metazoa; Arthropoda; Insecta; Coleoptera; Chrysomelidae. The transcript has 2 exons. The record is from RefSeq and is a predicted model, not a curated record.
GGCCUUUCUAAUUUGAAGAAGAAGAAAUUUAAUCAAAUUUAGAUUCUGUAUAAAAUACGUACAAUUAAAUUUUGUAAUUAGAAAUAGAAUUCAAUAGACUAUGAAUUGUAAAUAUAAUUUUACAGAGCCAGAUCGAACUCGCUAAUUUUAAUAACUCACUUGACUGUUAACGUUUUAGAUAGAUAAUUCGUAAUGUGUUUUUAUUGUAUUUAGUUGUGUACACUAUAGUCAAGCAGUGAAGUUGAGCGAAAAUAACAAUCCGAUAUUACUUUAUGAUAUAUGAGAAUUUAGGAUCGCUACUAUUAUUUUAAACACCAAUCUGAAAUAAUGAAACAUAAUGGUUUUCUUGACUGGUAGCGCAACUACGAUAUAAGUAAAAGUGAACGAGGAUAGGCUACAAAGACUCAUCUUACUGAAUAUAAACACAAAAAAAAGGUAGUGGUAAAACAUUAGAUUAUGGACUGUCUGUUCAGGAAGACUACCUAAUCUAUCUCACCAACAGAGUCGGAGUGCACUUAUGCUUUAUGCAUCCAAUUCGACAGUUCAUAAUCUUAAGUUUAGUCAAGGUAAACAUCAAGAAUGUUAUUCAUUGGUAAAUAGAAGAUGAGUUAUAAUCCAUUUCACCAUCUAUGGAGGAACAGGGAACAGCUAGGAUAAACAAGCCCAAAUCCAUUCCUCUAUGGAGAAGGAAAAUGAUUAUUUGGGGCUUGCACAAAGAACCAGGAGCCGAAGAAACAACUCAUCAAAGUCUAGUCCACUGUAGCCACACUAGUGAAGACUAUCAACUCUUUAACCAAAUAACAGGAGUCAAACAGCUAGGAUAAACAAGCCCAGAUCCAUUCCUCUAUGCAGAAGGAAAAUUAUUAUUUGGAGCCUGCACAAAGAACCAGGAACUGAAGAAACAACUCAUUGAAGCCUAGUCCACCAUAGCCAAACUAGAGAAGAGUAUCAAUGCUUUAACCAAAAAAUAGGAAUCAAAAAGGAGACUAGAUAAUUCCAACAAGAAAACAAGCUGCACUAAUUAGUCAAUUAGAAAAAAAAUAUCAAAAAUUGUGUGUGUCAGCUCCGACGCACGACUGGAGUUUACUCCUUAAGUUCGAUAGUCUAACUAGACGCAAAAAGAGUUUAUUUAACUUAAAAAAGAUUGAUACUGUAUAAAAGGGUAAAUUUGUUAAUUAAUGAAAAUAAUAUACAUAUAUAAAUAUAUAUUUAUUCAAUUUAUUCAUUUCAUAUACAUUUAUUAUAACUAAUCAACGAAAUAUUUUACAUUAAACUUUUUACAAUAGUCAAUUUCAGAUGUGCUCGAUAAUUCAUAUUGGGUUGAUUAUCUAAUUUUAUGUGUUGUUUUCAAAUAUAUAUUUAUAUGAACUACAUCGAUAAUUAUUAAAAUAUUUAAUAAAUACAAAUUGGACAUGCUCAUACAUAUAAUACAUGAAUUAUAACAUACCUUGCAACCACAUGUUUGUUAGAUGUUCCGGCAAUAUCAUCUACACCUCUUUCUGCCAUAGUUAUUUGAAAAUACUUUCAGUUCACUUUAGCGGAACACAAUGAUAAAAAUUAAAACUUCACAAUAACAAUAUUAAUUAUUGAUAUUUAUAAUAAAAACAUCAAUAUAAGUAUGUCGACACUGAAAAAUUAGAAAGUUGCGCAUCAUAGGGUGCGCACCAAAAACGUAACGAGGUCAUUCAUCGAUAGAUUUUACUCCUCACAUUUUUCUCAUACCGGGCUCCUUAUAAAUGCAAAUCGAUUUUUAAGGAGUAAACUCCAAAAAGGCAGAAUCUUCAGAAACAAGCUGGAGGUGUCCAAGUGGAAUACUUACACCAUAAUUGAGUAAGGAGUUAAAAUAUAAUUAAAGACUAAUACAAGUAAUUAGAUAUCUCAAAGAACUAAUCGAUCAAAGUAUAAAUUGACACUCUUCACGUAUUUCUUUAUAUUAAGUAUAUAUGUAUGCUACAGUUAUUAAAACUGUUUUAAUUAUAAAAAUCAACCUAUCGAUUGAAUUAUGCAUGCCCAAUCCUAUUGUAAGUAACAGUUAUCGAAGAUAAAGGGAGACAUACCUUCUUAAUAACUAUACUCUUGAAAGGACACAGUUUAAUUGUACUUUUAAUAAAUAAAACACAAAAAGGCUUGAAAAAAAUAAUUUAUUUUCACUAUUCCACAAACAUAAAUAAAGGAAUGAAUAAUAAAUGUUACAAAACAUAGACAGCUAAAAAUUGUGUAUACUUGGAGUAUGAAAUAAAUUGUUGAUAUCCUAAA